This 212-nucleotide ribosomal RNA is filed under the name uncultured bacterium. Its description in RNAcentral is "partial 16S ribosomal RNA". It matches the Rfam family "Bacterial small subunit ribosomal RNA", at positions 524 to 732 of the family's 1533-position model. The record is from RNAcentral.
UACGUAGGGCGCAAGCGUUAUCCGGAAUUAUUGGGCGUAAAGAGCUCGUAGGCGGUUUGUCGCGUCUGCCGUGAAAGUCCGGGGCUCAACUCCGGAUCUGCGGUGGGGUACGGGGCAGACUAGAGUGAUGUAGGGGGAGACUGGAAUUCCUGGUGUAGCGGUGAAAUGCGCAGAUAUCAGGAGGAACACCGAUGGCGAAGGCAGAUCUCUGG